CCUACGGGAGGCAGCAGUGAGGAAUAUUGGUCAAUGGACGGAAGUCUGAACCAGCCAAGUAGCGUGAAGGAUGACUGCCCUAUGGGUUGUAAACUUCUUUUAUAUGGGAAUAAUAUGUUCCACGUGUGGGAUUUUGUAUGUAUCGUAUGAAUAAGGAUCGGCUAACUCCGUGCCAGCAGCCGCGGUAAUACGGAGGAUUCGAGCGUUAUCCGGAUUUAUUGGGUUUAAAGGGUGCGUAGGUUGAUUGUUAAGUUAGUUGUGAAAGUUUGCGGCUUAACCGUAUAACUGCAGUUGAAACUGGCAGUCUUGAGUACAGUAGAGGUGGGCGGAAUUCGUGGUGUAGCGGUGAAAUGCUUAGAUAUUACGAAGAACUCCGAUUGCGAAGGCAGUUCACUGGACUGCAACUGACACUGAGGCUCGAAAGUGUGGGUAUCGAACAGGAUUAGAUACCCUUGUAGUC
RNAcentral lists this ribosomal RNA (460 nucleotides) under uncultured bacterium. RNAcentral describes it as "partial 16S ribosomal RNA". It matches the Rfam family "Bacterial small subunit ribosomal RNA", at positions 338 to 795 of the family's 1533-position model. The record is from RNAcentral.